This 27-nucleotide non-coding RNA is filed under the name Cricetulus griseus (Chinese hamster). Lineage: Eukaryota; Metazoa; Chordata; Mammalia; Rodentia; Cricetidae. The record is from RNAcentral.
GUGGGCAACAUUGUCACUGGAACUGAU